This 457-nucleotide ribosomal RNA is filed under the name uncultured Lachnospiraceae bacterium. Its description in RNAcentral is "bacterial SSU rRNA". It matches the Rfam family "Bacterial small subunit ribosomal RNA", at positions 63 to 507 of the family's 1533-position model. Lineage: Bacteria; Bacillati; Bacillota; Clostridia; Lachnospirales; Lachnospiraceae. The record is from RNAcentral.
CGAACGGAAGGAUAUGCAGAGAUAGAGAUUUCGUCAAAUCAAGUAGUAGUCUUUAGUGGCGGGACGGGUGGAGUAACGACGUGGGUAACCUGCCACUAUACAGGGGAGUAACACUUAGAAAUAGGUGCUAAUACCGCAUAAGCGCACAUGGCCGCAUGGCCAGGUGUGAAAAACUCCGUGGUAUAUGAUGGACCCGCGUCUGAUUAGCUAGUUGGUGAGGUAACGGGCCCACCCAAGGCGACGAUCAGUAGCCGGCCUGAGAGGGUGGACGGCCACAUUGGGACUGAGACACGGCCCAAACUCCUACGGGAGGCAGCAGUGGGGGAUAUUGGACAAUGGGGGGAACCCUGAUCCAGCGACGCCGCGUGAGUGAAGAAGUAUCUCGGUAUGUAAAGCUCUAUCAGCAAGGAAGAAAGAAAUGACGGUACCUGAGUAAGAAGCCCCGGCUAACUACGUG